This 497-nucleotide ribosomal RNA is filed under the name uncultured bacterium. RNAcentral describes it as "partial 16S ribosomal RNA". It matches the Rfam family "Bacterial small subunit ribosomal RNA", at positions 28 to 507 of the family's 1533-position model. The record is from RNAcentral.
GAUGAACGCUGGCGGCGUGCCUAAUACAUGCAAGUCGAGCGAACAGACGAGGAGCUUGCUCCUCUGGCGUUAGCGGCGGACGGGUGAGUAACACGUGGAUAACCUACCUAUAAGACUGGGAUAACUUCGGGAAACCGGAGCUAAUACCGGAUAACAUGUUGAACCGCAUGGUUUAACAGUGAAAGACGGUCUUGCUGUCACUUGUAGAUGGAUCCGCGCCGCAUUAGCUAGUUGGUAAGGUAACGGCUUACCAAGGCAACGAUGCGUAGCCGACCUGAGAGGGUGAUCGGCCACACUGGAACUGAGACACGGUCCAGACUCCUACGGGAGGCAGCAGUAGGGAAUCUUCCGCAAUGGGCGAAAGCCUGACGGAGCAACGCCGCGUGAGUGAAGAAGGUCUUCGGAUCGUAAAACUCUGUUAUUAGGGAAGAACAAAUGUGUAAGUAACUAUGCACGUCUUGACGGUACCUAAUCAGAAAGCCACGGCUAACUACGUG